Molecule: transfer RNA, 76 nt
Filed under: Actinomycetota bacterium
Lineage: Bacteria; Bacillati; Actinomycetota
Description: Actinobacteria bacterium (freshwater metagenome) tRNA-Met
Rfam family: tRNA
About the family: Transfer RNA (tRNA) molecules are approximately 80 nucleotides in length.
Source: RNAcentral
GGCGGGGUAGCUCAGGUGGUUAGAGCAAGCGGCUCAUAAUCGCUGCGCGCGGGUUCGAGUCCCGCCCCCGCUACCG